This 3591-nucleotide unclassified non-coding RNA is filed under the name Leishmania donovani. RNAcentral describes it as "gene:LdHU3.33.3390(CDS-product:Solute_carrier_(pr oton/amino_acid_symporter)_TRAMD3_or_PAT1_putative)". Lineage: Eukaryota; Euglenozoa; Kinetoplastea; Trypanosomatida; Trypanosomatidae. The record is from RNAcentral.
UGCCCCUCCCCCUCCUCCUCCACUGUACAGAAGCGGUGAGGAGCGGUACACAUAGCAUCACGCCCCCUUUUUUCAUUUGUUCAGUUAUCGAGUAGCCUUCAACCUUCUUCGUAAGAGACCUGAAUUCGCAGGAAGAGCGAGAGCGCGACUGGCGAAGAGGCGUUCGCUGACCCGUGUGUGGCAAACCCCAUUCCGCUCCCUCUCCACCACAUCCUCCCUCAGCCUUUUUCUUGCCUGACGAAGGCUGAGGCGCACCACCGGCGAAUUUCCGUCCGUUUUUCUUUUUCGCGGCCUUCUGUUGCUUCCGCGACAAGGCCGCGCGUGCAGGAGCCGAUAAGCGCAUGCGCGCGUCUGCGCUCUGCUCUUAGACACACCCACACGCGAGCAUCCACACGGGGUGCGCCUCGUCGUUCCUUUUUUUUUUCUGCUCCCUUUCCGCGCAUACGGCGGCGAUAUGUAUAGGCAGCAGCGUGCACAACAGUUGCGGGGCGGCCGCGGGUACCCGACAGAGGUGGCCGGGAGGGAUCGCGUGAAGUUCUUCCGCCGUCCCGUCGAACCCGCAAACAUCGUUCUGGAGAACGCCAACAACAACGCAAACACCGCCACCUGUGCGGACGCGAUGCAGGCGCAGUUUGCCGCUAGCUGCCCCUCCUUUUCGAUGCCGUCCAAUGCGGCCGCGUUCGCGUCAUCUGUGCCCCACGGUAGGGCGGCCGGGCGCACCAGCCAGCGGCCCUCCUCUGCCCUCGGCUGGCGUCCACGCCAAGCCGACUCCUCCAGCCGGAUGGGCGGCAACGGUUUUCUUCGUAGAGGCGGUGCUGGCCUGCGAGGGGCAAAGCCGCAUCAUCUUCCGAGUCUUGAGAGAGGCGACGCAGCAGACGCCGUCAGCAGCGGGGGCGAAGCCCAGCCGGACGGCCGUGCUGUGGCGUCGGUGCAGACCAUGUAUCGCGACAACGAAGCACAGACAGAUCCGUACUCGCCCGACUACGUCAUUCCGGAGGGAGCCCCCACGCCGGAGAUUCUGGGUCUUCAGAGCCUCACAUACCAGAAUGGCGGGCUUCCGUCUGGGAAGGAAGGCGUGGAGCUCAUCCAGCGGCUGCGCCGCCGCCGUGACGUCGAGGCGUCGCUGCCAACCGGGACUGAUGCGGCUUCCAUCGAGGCCAGGUACACUGCUCUGCACGAGCUGGAAGAAAAGGAGUGGGCCGAGCGCGAGGACCAUGUCGCGCAGCUACAGCAGCGGCGACUAGAGCGGCUGAGGGAGUCGUUGUUGGCGCGCGAGGUGGCCCGCGAGGAGGCCAACCGGAGGCGUUUGGGGCAGAUCAAAUCGCAGUACCUCGAAUCCUUAGGUGGAAAACUGACGUCGCUUGAGAUGCGCCGUAUGGCAGCAAGCAAGCGCGGCACCGACAAGAUGGCGCAGCUGCAGGCAUUGGGGAUCGGUGGCGCAGCGGGCCAAACCUCAGAGGCAGGGGCGACCCUUGGCAUUCCUUCAACAACGGCUUCUAUGAAGCGUUCCACCGCCACCUCGAAGAGCGGCAGAGCCAAGCCAUCUAUUGCGACCUACUCGCGCUACGGCACGGAUGGUGCGCCUCCGCAGAUCGAGCAGAGCGACAUCACUGGCGGCUCUAGCAUUGACGCUCGCCUCCGCGCGGCCAGGCAAGCAUUCAACUACGAUAUUCGGCCGCAGCUACUGGCCGACCCGGCGGGGACAGAGGUGGUUGAUGCCGAGCGUGGCGCCAGAGUGGAUCGGGUGUCACCGAAGACGUUUGUCGUGCCAGAGAACGAGGCGGUGCAGCGUCUGCCAACGCUGUAUCAGCGCCGCGAGCAGGAGCGAGUCCUGCACUCGCUCGAGUACGCCUACAACAAGCUGCAUCCCUCUGAGGAUGCUGAAGGUGGCAAGGCGUGUGAGAUGACGGCGCAGCGGGUGCUGGAGCUGUACAGGGCCACGCCGAAGCUGCAGCGACCAGAGACACCGGUGCUGAGGCUGGACGGUGAUGAGCAAGAGGAGGAGCAAGACGCCUGCAUCCUCCUUCAACGCCUGCUGCGUGGCCGUGCGGUGCAGAACGACUUCUUCGACGGCCGUGAACGUUGCCGCGGACUCAUCGAAGAGCUGCAGGCUGCUUCUACAGCUCAGACGGCGGAUCAGCUGGCGUCCGCGAAGCGAAAGGAGGAGUUGCUGGCUGCGGAGCGGGAGGCGGAGGCGGAGCACAUCGUGGGUAGCGCGCUCGGCGCCAUUGUGCACGACACACUCGGGUUCCUGUCUCAAGAGCUGGGCCGCCAGCAGGACAUGGCGGCACUUCGACGGUUGCAGGAAGAGGCCGAGGUGGUGCGUGCGACUCGCGAGGCGGCCGAGCGUGCCCGUCGUGCAGAGGUGCGCCAGCAGCGUGACCGCAACGAGGUCGCCUACGCGGCGUACAUGCGUGCCACCGACACGACGCUGCAGUGCUUCCUUGACGAUGUUACGCGGUCUGCGGUGGAGGAGACGGCGAUGGCUGUGGCGGUGGAGGCAGAACGGGCUCGCCAAGCCGCCCAUCCCUCACCACGGCAUCCUGCGACCGAGGAGGAGGCAGAGGACGCUGUGUGCGACAUGCUGGACGGGUUCGUCAUUCCAGCGAUUUUGGAUGCCAUUGGGUUACAGGGACGCGAGCUGGAGAAGAAGGCGGUGGCAGGCGCGGCGCUGGAUGCUGCCCACACCUUGAGUAAGGCAUGCGGCAGACCACCCACUUGACAUGACGUCUGCUGCAGCCGCUGCCGCCCUCCAACUUGUACACAAGCGACGUUGUUCUGCUCGUCUGCUUCUGCGUCUUAUUCGUUGCUGCCUCCCUCACGUCAUCCCCAGUGCCCAUGUGCGCAGGUGGACUCCGGUGCUGGAGAGGACUCCACCUCCUCCCCCACCCGCGCUGGCUUUGCGACCCUGCAUCCGUUAGCGUGUGCGUGUGCGAGUCCGCUCGCCACCGACUUGCGAUGCACGCUAACAUUUCCGCAUGAAUGCAUAUCUCGGUCCCCCGCGUUUGCCUUAGAAGGAUGUACAUACGUAAAACCAUUGGUCCCUCUUUUUUUCUUCUUCCGUCUUGCUGGGAUGCUUGUGUGCGUGUGGGAACGUCUCGCUGCCUUCCCCUCGUUCUCUCCCCAUCUCUGGUUGUGCAUGCGCGCAUGCGUUGGAACGCAUUCGUCUCAUAUGUUGUGUUGUUUGGGGGGGGGCUUGGCGUUAAAGUGCGAAGAGACAGGGAGAGCGCGCGCGCCUCUCUCGGCGAGUACGUGUGGUGGGGAGCGAUCAGGCUGUUUACGGAUCGAUUGCACUUGCCCUGCGCACUCGCCUAUUGGUUUUGUGACUGUUGUUCUAUGGAACCCCUAAGCUUGAGCGUGCGUGCUUCACUGUAUCGCUGUGAGUGCGAUGAUGUUGCCCCAGCUUCCCUCUACUUCUACACUUGAGUGCCUCGAUGCUGUGGCCUCUUCUUUCCGGUUUUGUUUUCGCCUUUGCUCGAUGUUAUGCUUCGCCCUCCUCGACCUUUUUCCCAUCGGUUCUCCGUCUUGGUAUGUGUGCAUUCGACUGUAACAUCUCUCCAUCUCGUCCGACCGCGUCCACCAGCUGCGCAG